AAGUUGAUCGUGAUAUGAUCAAGUACUUUCUGGGUUGUCUCAGACCUUACGAUUGAUGUUUAUCCCCAAACCAAAAUAUUGGGAGACUUUUUUUUUACAGACACGCAAAGGGUUUACUUGUUACUAAUAUAGCCUAGCCUCGUUCUUCUUUAGAUCCCUUGUUUCACUCCGAUAGUUUUAUAGAUCGUGUCAAUGCAGAGGAAAUGAAU
This 209-nucleotide long non-coding RNA is filed under the name Panax ginseng (ginseng). RNAcentral describes it as "long non-coding RNA (PGIN_LNC013804)". The record is from RNAcentral. Lineage: Eukaryota; Viridiplantae; Streptophyta; Magnoliopsida; Apiales; Araliaceae.